This 594-nucleotide ribosomal RNA is filed under the name uncultured bacterium. RNAcentral's name for it is "bacterial SSU rRNA". It matches the Rfam family "Bacterial small subunit ribosomal RNA", at positions 8 to 645 of the family's 1533-position model. The record is from RNAcentral.
AGACUUUGAUUAUGGCUCAGAACGAACGCUGGCGGCAGGCCUAACACAUGCAAGUCGAACGCGUGCCUUCGGGCACGAGUGGCGGACGGGUGAGUAACGCGUGGGAAUUUGCCUUGGGGUACGGAAUAACCGCGGGAAACUGCGGCUAAUACCGUAUACGUCCUUCGGGAGAAAGAUUUAUCGCCCCAAGAUGAGCCCGCGUCCGAUUAGGUAGUUGGUGAGGUAACGGCUCACCAGGCCUUCGAUCGGUAGCUGGUCUGAGAGGAUGAUCAGCCACACUGGGACUGAGACACGGCCCAGACUCCUACGGGAGGCAGCAGUGGGGAAUAUUGGACAAUGGGGGAAACCCUGAUCCAGCCAUGCCGCGUGAGUGAAGAAGGCCUUAGGGUUGUAAAGCUCUUUCGGUGGUGACGAUGAUGACGGUAGCCACAGAAGAAGCCCCGGCUAACUCCGUGCCAGCAGCCGCGGUAAUACGGAGGGGGCAAGCGUUGUUCGGAAUUACUGGGCGUACAAGGGCGCGUAGCGCGGAUGAUCAAGUCAGAGGUGAAAGCCCUGGGCUCAACCUAGAGGUGCCUUUGAAACUGAUUGUCUUGA